UUUUUUUUUUUUUUUUUUUUCCUUUUUUGGCUGCCCCACAGUGUGUGGCAUUCCUGGGCCAGGGAUCAGAUCCAAGCCACAAUUGUGACCUAUGCAGCACCUACAGCAACACCGGAUCCUUAACCCACUGUGAGGUGUCAGGGCUCGAACCUGUGUCCUGGUGCUCUAGAGAUGCCACCAACCCUGUUUCACCACAGCAGGGACUCCCAGAUUGUAAUUUUUAAUACAGAAUGUCUGGCACUUAAUUUUUUUUAAAAAAUCCAAAUUAUUUUAAAAAAUCAAAAGAGGAGUUCCCGUCGUGGCGCAGUGGUUAACGAAUCCGACUAGGAACCAUGAGGUUGCGGGUUCAGUCCCUGCCCUUGCUCAGUGGGUUAACGAUCCGGCGUUGCCGUGAGCUGUGGUGUAGGUUGCAGACUUGGCUUGGAUCCCGCAUUGCUGUGGCUCUGGGGUAGGCCAGUGGCUACAGCUCCGAUUAGACCCCUAGCCUGGGAACCUCUACAUGCCACGGGAGCGGCCUAAGAAAUAGCUAAAAAGACCAAAAGAAAAAAAAAAAAGAAAAAAAAAAAAAAAAAAUUUGAUUAGGGCAAAUUAGGUCAGAAUAUUUUGACUGCCCUCAGGAUUCUCUGUGUUCUGCCUUUUUUUUUUUUUUGUCUUUUUAGAGCUGCACCCUAAUAACACCCAAAGUGUUAUUUCUUGAACACCUUGAUCAUAGAUAUAAGAGAUACUAGAUAGAUACUUUAACUCAAUCAUCUGUAGGUAGGUCUGUUUUACUAUUUUUUCAAUUUCGAAGUUUUUAUUGAGACUUUAUUUUUGGCACACAGUUUCAGAAUCACAGCAAAUUGAAGGGAAGGUACAGAGAUUUCUCAUAUACGGCCUGACCUACCCAGCAUGCACAGCGACCUCAUUAUCAUCAUCCCCACGGGACAGCACAUGUUCUGCAGUGGACGGACCUGCACGGACACGUCGCGGUCAUCCCAGUCCAUGGUCCACACCUUAUGGGUCACACUUGGCGCUGUGCAUUUAAGGACUCUUCCUGGACAGUUUCAACUACGUAUGCCAUUCUAGAAAGGGCAAAACAGUGGAGCCAGUGACAGGAAAACUGGUGGCUGACAGUGGUUUCAGAGCAGAUGAACAGUGGUUUCGGGGAAGGAUAAAUACAGAACAGGGGAGCUCCUGUCAUGGGGCGGUGGAAACGAAUCUGCCUGGUAACCAUGAGGCCACAGGUUUGAUCCGUGGCCUCGUUCAGUGGGUGAAGGAUCUGGCGUUGCCGUGAGCUGUGGUGUAGGUCGCAGACGUGGCUCGGAUCCCGCGUUGCUGCAGCUGUGGUAUAGGCUGGCAGCUACAGCUCCAAUUCGACCCCUAGCCUGGGAACCUCCAUAUGCCACCAGUACAGCCAUAAAAAAAACAAUGACAAUUUGGAUUUAAUAGCAGAUUAGACACAAGUGAAGAGAGUAUUAAUAAGCUGAAAGAUGGAUCAAGGUAAAACACCAAGGGUAAACUCAGAAGAAUGUCCCGAUGCCCAGGACGUCAGCAUCUGCUCUCAGGUUUCAGCUGUGAAUCUACUGUGCAGCCUUGGGAGAUCCCUGCACAGCAGUGUAAACAGGAGGGUGAUGUGCUUUGGAAUUACGUUUCAAAGUGACCGCAGACCCUGUGAGGCGAACGAGCUGGAGGAGAGAGUGUGGAAGCAGGGCGGUCAGGUGGGUGACUUCGCCCUCGACUGCUGUGGUCCGGAAGAGAUGACGGCAGCUCUCCAGCGGCAGAGGACAUGAGUCAAGGCGUGGUUCAUGGCACAAUUAAGAUCCAAGGUAAGCAAGGCUGAGACAAUAUAAGACCUGUGGACGGACCAGUGGAAGGUGGGGAUGACAGAAGAGGCUACCUUCCACACCUACGCACUUCUCACCCUGGAGCAGUCUUGCCUCCCAGGGACAUGGGGCAAACUCUGGAGACACGUUGACAAACCUUCUACAGCGCAUCAAACUUCCUCGACCACAGUUAGCUGGUCCAAAAUGUCAACAGGGCUGCUUUGAGAAACCCCGAUUUUACUUCUUUAAAAGGUAUUCCUUGCCCUUACAUACAAGCUCUUCCCUUUUACGUGUCUGUGUUUUCCACGAAAUUGUAAAAUUCUGGACAUGAGGGACCAAAUCUUUUAUUUCUUACCUUCACCUGCUCUGCAUUGGACAUUUAACAAAAAUUAAUAGGCUGUGUUUUCAGAGAAGUUUUCUGUUUACAGAAAAACUGAAAGUACAGAGUUCCUACAUACCUCCCCUUCCCCCCACAUACAAUUUCUCCUACUAUGAACAUCUUGCAUUAGUGAUAUAUUUAUUCAUUUAUAUGAUGAACUAAAUUAAAUUAAUACAUGAUUAUUAACUGGAGUCCAAAGUUGAUACUACAUUUCUACGCUAAUAAUACCUCUCAAUAAGUAAUUAUUACUGACUAAUCUAAUCAUUUGUCAAGGAACAUAUCAAUUAAAAAAAAGAAAGUGAACCCCUAUAAGUCUAUCCACUGAUUUCUCUACAGAAACACUACAGGCCAGAAGAGACUGGUAAGAUAUAUUCAAAGUUCUAAAGAGGAAAAAUCUGCACCUAGAAUACUUUACCUAGCAAGGAUAUCAUUUAAAAUAGAAGGAAAAAUAAAGAAUUUCUCCAAUAAAUGAAAAUUGAAAGAGCACAGCAAUACUAAACCCAUUCUAAAAGAAAUAAUGAAAGGUCUCCUCUCGUAAAAAGGAAGGAAGAAGAGAGAUGACGGAGGAAAUUGCAAUUGGAAAGUAAUCAUCUAAAUAAGCCAGUAUGCAGAACUAAAAGGGGAAAACUAUUGUAAAAGCAACAAUAAACACAAGGAACAGCACAAGGUUAAACAUGAAGAUGUUAAAAAAAAAAGACUUCGAAAUCAUAAAAUGUGGGGGAGGAGGUAAGAAAAUCUAGGCUCUCUUUGCCAGGAUGAUGUGUUUGAGCCUAUAUGACUAUCAGGAUAAAGCAAGCAGAUGAAGGUGCUGACUUUCUCGGAAAACAGGGCAACCACAAAUCAAAACCCAACAAUACAUUCUCAGAAACUAAAAAGAAGAGGAUACAAACAUAAAAUAAAAGGAAAUCAUCCAACCAAAAAAAAGAGAAAGGAACAAAGGAGAAACAGAAUCAACUAGAAAACAAGGUUCAACACGGCAAUGAAUACAUAUUUAUCAAUAAUUACCUUAAAUGUCAAUGGGCUGACUGCUCCAAUCGAAAGACACACAGUGGCAGCCUGGAUAAAAAAGCAAGAUCCUACAAUAUGCUGCCUACAGGAGACUCAUCUUAGGGCAAAUGUCACACAUAAAUUGAAAACGAGGGGAUGGAAAAAGCUAUUUCAUGUGAAGGGAAAAGACAGGAAGGCAGGAGUUGCAAUACUCAUAUCAGACAAAAUAGACUUUAAAACAAAGGCCAUCAAGAGAGACAAAGAAGGACACUAUUUAAUGACGAAAGGAUCCAUUCAAGAAGAGGACAUUACACUCGUCAAAUAUAUAUGCCCCUAAUACAGGAGCACCCAAACACAUAGAACAAAUACUAACAGAAAAAAAAGGAGAAAUUGAUGGGAAUACAAUAACAGUAGACUUUAACACCCCACUCACAUCAAUGGACAGAUCCUCUCGACAGAAAAUCAAUAAGGCAACAAAGAUCCUAAAUGACGCAAUAGAAAAGCUGGACUUCAUUGACCUUUUCAGGACAUUGCCUCCAAAAAAAUCAGAAUGUACAUUCUUUUCAAGUGCACAUGUAACAUUCUCAAGGAUUGACCACAUACUGGGGCACAAAGCUAACCUCAACAAAUUUAAGAACAUAGAAUAUUUCAAGCAUCUUCUCUGACCACAAUGGAAUAAAUGAAACUAGAAAUUAACCAACAAAAGAAAUGAGAAACAACUGACUACAUGGAGAUUAAACAAUGUGCUACUGAAAAACCAAUGCAUCAACAAGGAAAUCAAAAGGGAAAUCAAAAAAUACCUCGAGACAAAUGACAAUGAAAACACAACCAUUCAAAAUCUAUGGGAUGCCGCAAAGGCAGUGCUUAGAGGAAAGUUCAUAGUGAUACAGGCUUUCCUCAAAAAAGGAGAAAAAUUUCAAAUCAACAACUUAAUCUACCAACUAAAAGAAAAAGAAGAAAAAACACAACCUAAAGUCAGAAGAAGGGAGGAAAUAAUAAAGAUCAGAGAGGAAAUCAAUAAAAUAGAGGUUCAAAAAUCAAUAGAAAAAAAGCAAUAAAACCAAGAGCUAGUUUUUUGAAAGGGUAAACAAAACUGACAAACCUCUGGCCAAACUCAGCAAAAAGAGGAAAGAAAGAAAUCAAAUAAAUGAAGAAAUGAAAAAGAGAAAUCUCAACGGAUACUGCAGGAAUACAAGAAAGAAAGAAAGAAAGAAAGAGAAUACUAUGAACAAUUAUAUGCCAACGAAUUUGACAACCUAGAAGAAAUGGACAACUUUCUAGAGACAUACAGCCUGCCAAAAUGGAAUCAAGAAGAAAUAGAUCAAUUGAACAGACCAAUCACUGUUGAAAUGAAAUUGAAGAUAUAAUAAAAACACUCCCUACAAACAAAAGUUCAGGACCAGAUGGCUUCACAGGCAAAUUCUACCAAACACACAAAGAAUUCUACCGUACAUACUUAUACCCAUCCUUCUUAAUAUAUUUGAUAAAUAUAGAUGCAAAAAUUCUCAACAAAAUUUUAGCUAACUGAAUCCAACAACACAUAAAAAAAAAUCAUACACCACAACCAAGGGGAAUUCAUCCCAGGUUCACAAGGAUGGUUCAACAUACACAAAUCAAUCAACGUCAUACACCACAUUAACAAAAUAAAAGUCAAAAACCACUUGAUCAUCUCAACAGAUGCCAAAAAAGCAUUUGACAAAGUCCAACAUCCAUUCAUGAUAAAAACUCUUACCAGUGUGGGUACAGAGGGAACAUACCUUAACAUAAUAAAAGCCAUUUAUGACAAACCCAUAGCCAAUAUAAUACUCAAUGAAGAAAAGCUGAAAGCCUUCCCUCUAAAAUCUGGAACAAGACAAGGAUGCCCACUCUCACUACUUUUAUUCUACAUAGUACUGGAAGUCCUAGCUAUAGCAAUCAGACAAACAAAAGAAAUAAAAGGUAUCUGAAUUGGAAGAGAAGAGGUAAAAUCAUCACUCUAUGCAGAUGGCAUGAUACCAUAUAUAGAAGACCCUAAGGACUCCACACCAAAAACAAUUCAAACUGAUCAAUGAAUUCAGCAAAGUAGCAGAAUAUAAGAUUAACACUCAGGAGUUCCUGUUGUGGCACAGUGGAAAUGAAUCCAACUAGUAUCCACAAGGAUGCAGGUUCAAUACCUGGCCUUGCUCAGUGGGUUAAGGAUCCAGCAUUGCCAUGAGCUGUGGUAUAGGUCGAAGAUGCGGAUCAGAUCCUAAAUUGCUGUGGCUGUGGCAUAGGCCAGCAGCUGUAGUUCUGAUUUGACCCCUAGCCUGGGAACUUCCAUAUGCCAUGGGUGUGGCCCUAAAAAACAAAAAACAAAACAAAAAAAUUAACAUUCAGAAAUCAGUUGCAUUUCUAUAUACUAACAAUGAAAUUUUAGAAAAAGAAUAUAAAAAUAUAAUACCUUUUAAAAUUUCACCCCCUAGGAAUAAACCUGAGCAAAGAAGUAAAAGACUUAUAUGCUAGAACUACAAAACAUCAAUCAAGGAAAUUAAAGAUAAUUCAAAGAGAUGGAAAGAUAUUCCAUGCCCCUGGAUUGGAAGAAUUAAUAUCAUUAAAAUGGCCUUACUACCCAAAGCAAUCUACAGAUUCAAGGCAAUCCCGAUCAACUUACCCAUGACAUUUUUCAUAGAACUAGAACAAACAAUCCAAAAAUUUAUAUGGAACUGCCAAAGCAAACCUGAGGAAAAAAAUCCAUGCAGGAGGCAUAACUCUCCCAGACUUCAGACAAUAUUACAAAGCUACAGUAAUCAGGACAGUGUGGUACUGGUACAAAAACAGACAUACACACCAAUGGAACAGAAUAGAGAACCCAGAAAUAAACUCAGACACCUAUGGUCAAUUAAUCUUCAACUAAGAAGGCAAGAAGAUAAAAUGGAAAAAAGACAGUCUCUUCAGCCAGUCCUGUGGGAAAACUGGACAGCUGCAUGUAAAUCAAUGAACCUAGAACACGCCCUUACACCAUGCACAAAAAUAUAAACUCAAAAUGGCUUAAAGACUAAGACAAGAUACCUCAAAACUCCUAGAAGAGAACACAGGCAAAACAUUCUCUGACAUUGACCGUACAAAUGUUUUCUUAGGUCAGUCUCCCAAAGCAAUAGAACAAAAACAGAAACAAAUGGGACCUAAUCACACUGACAAGCUUUUGCACACCAAAGAAAACCAUAAAAAGAAAAAAAAUAAACAAAAAGACAACCUAUGGAAUGGGAGAAAAUAGUUGUAAACAAUGCAGAUGACAAGGGCUUAAUCUCCAAAAUAUACAAACAACUCAUACAUCUCUACAGCAAAAAAAAAAAAAAAACAAAAAAAACAAAAAAAAAAACCCCAACCUAAUUGAAAAAUGGCAGAAGUCCUAAGUAGACAUUCUCCAAAGAAGACAUAGGGAUGGCCAACAGGCACGUGAAAAAAUGCUCAACAUCACUAAUUAUUAGAGAAAUGCAAAUCAAAACUACAUUGAGGUCCCACCCCACACCUGUCAGAACGGCCAUCAUUAACAAGUCAACAAAUAACAAACGCUGGAGAGGGUGUGGAGAAAAGCAUACCCUCCUACACUGUUGGUGGGAAUGUAAAUUGGUACAACCACUAAGAAAACCAGGAUGGAGGUGCCUCAGAAAACUAAGUAUAGAACUACCAUAUGACCAGCAAUCCUGCUCCUGGCAAGUUUCUAGACACAGCUUUCACUGAAAAAGAUACAUGCACCCCGUAGGUUCACUGCAGCACUAUUCACAAUAGCCCAGACAUGGAAACAACCAAAAUGUCCACCGACAGACAGACGGGUGGAUUAAGAAGAUGUGGUGUAUAUACACAUGGAACACUGCUCAGCCAAAAGAAGGAACAAAAUAAUGCCAUUCGCAGCAACAUGCAUGGAACUAGAGACUCUCAUCCUGAGUCAAGUCAGGAGAAAGACAAAUACCACAUGAUAUCACUUAUAUCUGGAAUCUAAGAUAUAUGGCACACAUGAACCUUUCCACAGAAAAGAAACAAACUCAAGGACAUGGAGAAGGGACCUGUGGCUGCCAGGAGGGAGGGGGAGGGGACCGGGAGGAACUAGAAGUUGGGGGUGAGUAGAUGCAAACUAUUGCAUUUGGAGUGGAUAAGCAGUAAGAUUCUUCUGCAUGGCACAUGGAAGUACAUCCAAUCACUUCUGGUGGAACGUGAUGGAGGACAACAUGAAAAAAAGAAUGUGUGUGGACACAUGGGCCACUCUGCUGUGCAGCGAAAAUUACAGAACACUGUAAACCAGUUAUAAUAAAAAUUAAUUUAAAAAUAUACACAACUUAGAAUAGAUUUACAAGGAGAUCCUGCUGAAUAGCAUUGAGAACUAUGUCUAGAUACUCAUGUUGCAACAGAAGAAAGGGUGGGGGAAAAAUGUAAUUGUAAUGUAUACAUGUAAGGAUAACCUGACCCCCUUGCUGUACAGUGGGAAAAUAAAAAAAUAAAUAAAUAAAAAUAAAAAUAAAAAUAAAGGAACUACCAAUUACAGAGCACCUAUUACACAUCAAGCACUAUGCAAGUCCACAUACAUCUAACCCAGACAGACACAGCUCAUGUAGAGUUACCUGCAGUAUUAUGCUAUAUUAUUAUUAUAUGUAGCCAUGUCAGUUACUGCGAGUUGGGCAUUCUCAUCUCAUUCCUAAGGUUGGGAACAUUUAGGCUCAGCAAUUUUACAUUAUUUGCACACAGUCGCACAACAGUACAUGGAGAAGUUAGAACGCAACCUGUCCCACAUUCGGGGCUCACGUCCUUUAGUUAUGACAAAUACUCCUUUUCCCCUUCUUUGUGUUACAUUUCCUGUUUGAAAAUGUCUCUGC
This 7994-nucleotide long non-coding RNA is filed under the name Sus scrofa (pig). RNAcentral describes it as "lncRNA (ENSSSCG00055000579.1)". Lineage: Eukaryota; Metazoa; Chordata; Mammalia; Artiodactyla; Suidae. The record is from RNAcentral.